This 410-nucleotide ribosomal RNA is filed under the name uncultured microorganism. RNAcentral describes it as "bacterial SSU rRNA". It matches the Rfam family "Bacterial small subunit ribosomal RNA", at positions 509 to 917 of the family's 1533-position model. The record is from RNAcentral.
CAGCCGCCGCGGUAAUACGUAGGGUGCGAGCGUUCAUCGGAUUUACUGGGCGUAAAGCGUGCGCAGGCGGCCCGUUAAGACAGGUGUGAAAUCCCUGGGCUCAACCUAGGAAUUGCGCUUGUGACUGGCGGGCUCGAGUACGGUAGAGGGGGGUGGAAUUCCUGGUGUAGCAGUGAAAUGCGUAGAGAUCAGGAGGAACACCGAUGGCGAAGGCAGCCCCCUGGGCCUGUACUGACGCUCAUGCACGAAAGCGUGGGGAGCAAACAGGAUUAGAUACCCUGGUAGUCAACGCCCUAAACGAUGGGUACUAGCCGUUUGGUGCGCGAGAGCGCUGAGUGGCGAAGCUAACGCGAGAAGUACCCCGCCUGGGGAGUACGGCCGCAAGGUUGAAACUUAAAGGAAUUGGCGGG